UACGUAGGGUGCGAGCGUUAAUCGGAAUUACUGGGCGUAAAGUGUGCGCAGGCGGCUGAGCAAGUCGAGUGUGAAAGCCCCGGGCUUAACUUGGGAAUUGCGCUCGAAACUACUUGGCUUGAGUGUGGCAGAGGAAGGUGGAAUUCCACGUGUAGCGGUGAAAUGCGUAGAGAUGUGGAAGAACACCGAUGGCGAAGGCAGCCUUCUGGGCCAACACUGACGCUCAUGCACGAAAGCGUGGGGAGCAAACAGG
Molecule: ribosomal RNA, 253 nt
Filed under: uncultured bacterium
Lineage: Bacteria
Description: partial 16S ribosomal RNA
Rfam family: Bacterial small subunit ribosomal RNA
Source: RNAcentral